AUUGAACGCUGGCGGCAGGCCUAACACAUGCAAGUCGAGCGGAUGAAGGUGGCUUUCUCCUGGAUUCAGCGGCGGACGGGUGAGUAAGUCCUAGGAAUCUGCCUGGUAGUGGGGGAUAACGUCCGGAAACGGGCGCUAAUACCGCAUACGUCCUGAGGGAGAAAGUGGGGGAUCUUCGGACCUCACGCUAUCAGAUGAGCCUAGUUCGGAUUAGCUAGUUGGUGGGGUAAAGGCCUACCAAGGCGACGAUCCGGAACUGGUCUGAUAGGAGGAUCAGUCACACUGGAACUGGGACACGGUCCAGACUCCUACGGGAGGCACCGGUGGGGAAUAUUGGACAAUGGGCGAAGUCCUGAUCAAGCCAUGCCGCGUGUGUGAAGAAGUUCUUCGGAUUGUAAAGCACUUUAAGUUGGGAGGAAGGGCAGUAAGUUAAUACCUUGCUGUUUUGACGUUACCAACAGAAUAAGCACCGGCUAACUUCGUG
This 484-nucleotide ribosomal RNA is filed under the name uncultured bacterium. RNAcentral describes it as "partial 16S ribosomal RNA". It matches the Rfam family "Bacterial small subunit ribosomal RNA", at positions 30 to 507 of the family's 1533-position model. The record is from RNAcentral.